GGAAGGAUGUCAGAGUGGUCGAAUGAGCCCGCUUGGAAAGCGUGUGUACCUUAGGGUACCGAGGGUUCGAAUCCCUCUCCUUCCA
This 85-nucleotide transfer RNA is filed under the name hydrothermal vent metagenome. RNAcentral's name for it is "tRNA-Ser-GGA". It matches the Rfam family "tRNA". Rfam says of the family: Transfer RNA (tRNA) molecules are approximately 80 nucleotides in length. Their secondary structure includes four short double-helical elements and three loops (D, anti-codon, and T loops). The record is from RNAcentral.